CAGAGGGGGCAAGCGUUGUUCGGAAUUACUGGGCGUAAAGGGCGCGUAGGCGGCCUGCUAAGUCGAACGUGAAAUCCCCGGGCUCAACCCGGGAACUGCGUCCGAUACUGACAGGCUUGAAUCCGGGAGAGGGAUGCGGAAUUCCAGGUGUAGCGGUGAAAUGCGUAGAUAUCUGGAGGAACACCGGUGGCGAAGGCGGCAUCCUGGACCGGCAUUGACGCUGAGGCGCGAAAGCCAGGGGAGCAAACGGGAUUAGAUACCCCGGUAGUCCUGGCCCUAAACGAUGAAUGCUUGGUGUGGCGGGUAUCGAUCCCUGCCGUGCCGAAGCUAACGCAUUAAGCAUUCCGCCUGGGGAGUACGGUCGCAAGGCUG
Molecule: ribosomal RNA, 372 nt
Filed under: uncultured organism
Description: bacterial SSU rRNA
Rfam family: Bacterial small subunit ribosomal RNA
Source: RNAcentral